Molecule: long non-coding RNA, 286 nt
Organism: Notothenia coriiceps (black rockcod)
Lineage: Eukaryota; Metazoa; Chordata; Actinopteri; Perciformes; Nototheniidae
Exons: 2
Source: RefSeq, a predicted model, not a curated record
AUAAUUAUUCAGUGUUGUUACUUUAAAGUGUUGUUACUGACCUUUUUCUCUUUUAUUUUCUUUACCUCACCUGUAACUGCUGAGACCCUGAGGAACAUGCACACUGGACUGACCUGCUCUGGCAACCUGAUUUCCACUCUCCAUCCAUCACCGUUCUCUGUUCCUGCAGGUCCUGCUUGCUAAUCAAUGCUUUAUUUUUUUACACAAUUACAAAUAAAGUCAAUGUAUUGUAUGACAUGAAGUUGUGCUUCAUUCUGAGUCAAUAAUAAAUUCAUUCUGCCUUCAA